GACGAACGCUGGCGGCGUGCUUAACACAUGCAAGUCGAACGGAAAGGCCCUGCUUUUGUGGGGUGCUCGAGUGGCGAACGGGUGAGUAACACGUGAGUAACCUGCCCUUGACUUUGGGAUAACUUCAGGAAACUGGGGCUAAUACCGGAUAGGAGCUCCUGCUGCAUGGUGGGGGUUGGAAAGUUUCGGCGGUUGGGGAUGGACUCGCGGCUUAUCAGCUUGUUGGUGGGGUAGUGGCUUACCAAGGCUUUGACGGGUAGCCGGCCUGAGAGGGUGACCGGCCACAUUGGGACUGAGAUACGGCGCAGACUCCUACGGGAGGCAGCAGUGGGGAAUAUUGCACAAUGGGCGGAAGCCUGAUGCAGCAACGCCGCGUGCGGGAUGACGGCCUUCGGGUUGUAAACCGCUUUCGCCUGUGGCGAAGCGUGAGUGACGGUAAUGGGUAAAGAAGCACCGGCUAACUACGUG
Molecule: ribosomal RNA, 468 nt
Filed under: uncultured bacterium
Lineage: Bacteria
Description: partial 16S ribosomal RNA
Rfam family: Bacterial small subunit ribosomal RNA
Source: RNAcentral